RNAcentral lists this transfer RNA (49 nucleotides) under Plesiopelma longisternale. RNAcentral's name for it is "tRNA-Leu". Lineage: Eukaryota; Metazoa; Arthropoda; Arachnida; Araneae; Theraphosidae. The record is from RNAcentral.
UUUAUUAUUAGCAAACAACUGCAAUAGAUUUAGAUUCUAUAUAAUCUCA